GUGUAGAUCGUGUGGUAGGCAAAUCCGCCACAUGUUUUGUUGAGACGUGAUGCGUAGACCCAAUGGGGUUGAUGGUGGUGAUCCUGUACUGUCGAGAAAAGCCUCUAGCGAUGUGUGUGUAUGGCCCGUACCCUAAACCGACACAGGUGGUCAGGUUGAAAAUACUAAGGCGUUCGGGUGAACUGUGGUUAAGGAAC
RNAcentral lists this ribosomal RNA (197 nucleotides) under Anophryoides haemophila. RNAcentral's name for it is "partial Bacterial large subunit ribosomal RNA". It matches the Rfam family "Bacterial large subunit ribosomal RNA", at positions 1518 to 1713 of the family's 2925-position model. The record is from RNAcentral. Lineage: Eukaryota; Ciliophora; Oligohymenophorea; Philasterida; Glauconematidae.